GAGCUCACCGCGGACGUGGUAACACGGACGGCACGGCAAACCCCAUCUGAAGCAAGGCCAAAUAGGGAAGCGCAUGGCGUGGCUCGCGUUGCUUCCGGGUAGGCUGCUUGAGCGUACUGGCAACAGUACGCCUAGAGGAAUGGUUGCCCACGACAGAACCCGGCUUAACGACCGGCUUCCCAC
RNAcentral lists this RNase P RNA (183 nucleotides) under Propionivibrio sp. RNAcentral's name for it is "partial RNase P RNA component class A". It matches the Rfam family "Bacterial RNase P class A", at positions 171 to 367 of the family's 367-position model. Rfam says of the family: Ribonuclease P (RNase P) is a ubiquitous endoribonuclease, found in archaea, bacteria and eukarya as well as chloroplasts and mitochondria. Its best characterised activity is the generation of mature 5'-ends of tRNAs by cleaving the 5'-leader elements of precursor-tRNAs. The record is from RNAcentral. Lineage: Bacteria; Pseudomonadati; Pseudomonadota; Betaproteobacteria; Rhodocyclales; Rhodocyclaceae.